Cavia porcellus (domestic guinea pig) is the source of this 4778-nucleotide long non-coding RNA. RefSeq lists it as uncharacterized. NCBI's taxonomy places the organism in Eukaryota, Metazoa, Chordata, Mammalia, Rodentia, Caviidae. The record is from RefSeq and is a predicted model, not a curated record. The transcript has 9 exons.
ACAGGUCGAUGUAGGCACCCUGCCAACUCAGCUCUCCCUUUGGCUUGCCAGCCCCUGAAUUCAAUGUCGAGAAGCAGUAGGACAUCAGACAGCUCGGCAAGUCACGGUGGGACCUCGGCAAACCACAGUGGUACAGCGGUAGGACCUCGGAUGGAAAAAUGGUGAGCAUCUAUAAGAAGAAAACAGUAAUAUACAUAGACUGUUCAAUAUGGCAACUUGAAGUCUACAAGCAUGAAAACACAAGAGCUGAAUGGUGAAUAGGUUCUGACCAUGGUGGGCCUUGGGGUCUCACUAUGCAGUUCAGGCUGACUUUGAGAUCACUAUGUAGCUCAGGAUAGCUCAGUCUCACACUGAUCAUCCUGCCUCGGCCUUCUGAGUGCUGGUAUUACAUGCCUGUACCAUCACUCCUGGCUUUUAUAUAUGUUUUGCUAAAGUCUAAGUCUUUUUCUUUUCUCCUGUCUCCUCCCAUCCGCACUCUCCCCCUCCCUUUCCCUCCUCUCCCUUCCUCUCUCUCCUUCUCUUUUCUUUCUUCAGUCCUAGAGACUGAACCCAGUGACUUGCUGAGCUAGACAUAUACUCUGCACCCCUAAUCUCCUGCUUCAGCCUCUGGAAUAUCUGAGAUUGACUUGUCCCAGAAUUUUCCUUGUGCCAAAGAGCAUCAAAAGCAGCAUCCAGUGUUGUAAGGCGCACAUCGAAGAUUAAUUUGAACAGUAGCUUUCCCUGGAAUGAACAAUGGUGAACCACAUUUAUCACAGGAAAUCCAAAAGUUUGACUAGUGGCCAAAUAGAGAAUGGACUGUGUAUCUCCACAUUUCCUGAGCAGCUGAAGUAUAUGGUGUAGUGUUGGAAAAGAUUAUGGAAAACGGAAAGCUGCUUAAGACAAAGUUCUUGGCCUCAAGAAGAGAAAGAUACGUACACAACCUAUGAUCAGGCAGAGAAUUCUGAGGGAGCAGGGACUCGAAGGAAACAAGUCAUUCUAAAUUGCAUCUUCAAACAAAUCAUUUGGAAGACAUGAAGACAUUUUGGCAUAAAGCAUAUUUCCAACCAACAACUUCCUUUGAACUAGAACAAGCUGCCGAAGAGACACUCUAUUUCCACUGCUCAUCUCACAGUUCAAAAUGUAGCUACUGAUGCCAUGCUCUGUAGAAGCCUGAGGGUGAACUUGGACAUCUGAAUGAACUCACUCAUGGAAUAGUCAAUACAAAAAGGAAAUAUUUUACUCGUUAAAACAUCAAGGGAAGAGUAUUAUAAAAGAAGUGACUGAUGGUGAGCCGGAAUGAGCAAUUUUAAAAGGUGCUCCAGACUUCUCAACAGGAUUAAUUAAUAGAUUCACUCUAUUUGAUCUUCUGUUGGAUUCCUGUCUCCAACUCCUGGCCUGAGACUCUGAUACAACUUCAGCCCAAACUUAAAUAGACAUGGCAGCAAGAAGAGAGACCAAGGUGGUGUUUUUUCCAACACUCUUCAGCAGCUUUGAGAGACAAUGAAGUAUUGGAGAAAGGAAAGACGAAUGGAUGGCACAAGAAAAGUAGGAGCUGAAGUACAGGCGACCUAGAUGACAAAACCUUCUGCAUGUUCAACUGAAUCAUUCCAGAUGUUUCCAUCUUAUCGUGGCAUCCAAGGACAAGAAGUCAUGAGGGUUGUUCUGGGCAUCUUUCCUCCAGAAACUCUGUGGUAGAAUAGUAGAUGCAACUAUAGAAAUAAUAUCAGUUAAGAAAGUAGUUUCUUAUCAUAGACCUCUGCAUGUGGGCUCCCAUAUCCAGGCUUUUAGAAAGAUACGCAGGAUGUGGUGAUGGCGUUGGCAUAUGUGUAUGUAGGGGGCAAUGUUUCUGAUCAAACAUAUUCACAAAUUUAAAGUUAAAGAUGUGAUUGCUCCUUGUUUACCAAGCACACCUAUUGAAUUUAUCCACAGAAAUAAAAUGUGUUUUACUCUGUGUUUUCAUCUUUUCCAUUGCCACUGUGCACUGAUUAAAACAUGUGCCAAACAAUAUUUUUUCUUUUGCUAGUAUUUUAAAAAGAGACAUGAUUUAUUCCAGAGAACUUUAAUCCAGAACGAUUUUGCUGAGGAAGAAAGCAUGCUUGCUUAGUUUCUCAGAGUAUUAUUAUCGAGUGAUAUGCCCUUGUACCAUGUGAGUUUUAGGAUAAAUUACUUGGGACUGGCCUGGUUUAGCAGUGUUACUUAGGUUUAGUUUAUAAUGAAAAAUACUCUGUCUAUUCAAUUCACUCCACUUAAACACAGUUCAUUUAUGUUGCUUUGUAGUUUUUAUAUCUGGACACUUACUUAAAAUUUUCUAGUGUUUUAUGAAUGCAUUCAUUGCGAAGAACAAUGUGUGCCUUAUCAUCAGAGAAAUGCAUUUGACUCUCUCUGUGUGAAAAGAAGGCCGGAAUGAUGGCGUCUCAGCAUCAGCAGAGACCACAGUAAUUAUUUCACAGCUAUGCUGAUGCAAAAAGAUGGCAACUUCGUUUCCAACUUUAUGCCUUUCCUCCUCUCUGCUGGAUAAUCCUCUGAAACACCCAUGACUUUCAUUCAACUUCUUUAACAGUUUUCAUGAUGUCUAAGACAUUUGAGGCAUUGUUUGACAAAGCAAUCCCUGGGAAAGAGUUGGCAAGAAGGUCCGCCCCCCCACCCCAGUCACCCCUCUAUCUUGGCUCGUCCUCUCACCUCCAACACAGCACUGCCACCAGGUGGGGGAAGGAAGGUGAAGCCUAGGAACAAACACCACCUUAUGUGACCCCAUGCGAUGUGACGUCUUUCUGGCGAAGAAGGCUGAAGAUGAAAGAUGUACAGGCAUUAAAGCGAAUGACAUAGUCUCAGGGAAAAGCCAGCCGUUGUGUUUGGCUGAAAUACAGGAUGGUGGGGAGGCAGAAUGGAUAUAUGCUGAUCUUCUAGAAAGUGAGGAAGCUUUGAAGAUGCUUUUAACAGAGUUUCAAUAUCUUGUGGCACUUAAGAAAAGGUCAGAGAUGGUUUAAAACCUGUUGCAAUAAGAUAGACAGGAUAGGAUGGCAACAAUCAUAAAGGUGGGGCUCUGUUUUAUUUUUCUUGAGACAUUUGAGCGUUUGCAUUGACUGACAAAAUCAAAUGUAAAGGAGAACGGAGAGGGGAAGCAUUACAUGGUGAUUGUAUGGCAUUUGCCUAACAUAUACAUGAAUGAGAAUUGGCAGAAAGAAAAGAACUAAGUUUGGAAAAGUUAGUUUAGUUUUUUUAUGUGCUAGAUAUGCAGUAAAAGAUCAAAGCUGAGAGAGUUUAGUAACAGAAUUGCAUUCUUGAGUUCAGGAGAGAAUUUGGAGUGAGAACUAUAGAUUUGAGAACGAUACGAGGUUAGUGUUAGGCACUAAAUAAGCCAGACUGCCCAGGGAGGAGAUGCGUCCUGAGAAAACGAGAAACAGAUGCUAGCAAGAACGGGACAGGAAAGUAAGUCAACCAAAAGAGAAGUGAAAACAAAAUAUUUCAAAGAGUUUCUAAGUGAAACUUCUUUGGCAAAUUGUCUUUGAUUUAAACUAUUUACCAUAUUGUAUUCAUAGAUUUAUUUGAAUUUUUGUAUAUGGCAAAAGAUGAAAGGUAACAAUCGAAAAUCCAUGUUUAUUCUCCUAUUUUAAAGUGACAUCCUCUGUUACUAUACAGGGAAAUCAUUGCUGGUUUUAAGCCUCAAAGUUAGAUUACUUCUUUGUGUUAUCUGAAUCAUUUUUUUUCGUCUUACGGCACACUAUUAGUUUCAACUGAGUUUUGUAGUUAUUAUCUUUUUAAAAUGUAUAAAUAUAAUAUGAUUAUUGAACAAUUCAAACAGCACAGAAAGGUGUCUCGUAAUCAGCUACCCUCACUUCCAGGUUGUUUUCAUUUCGUACAGACUCUCCCCGAAGUUUGUCAUCUUAAUUUUAGAUUCACAUAUACGUAUCUGUACACAGAAGUUCUCAUAGAUCUGCACAACACUUGAACAACAUUGCUGCUGAGUUCCUUCAAGUGAGCAAAAAUGUUACUGUCCUUCUCUGAGCCCAAAUAUUCUCUUGGUCUGUCGAUGUCAGACCGACCCUCCUACAGAUCGUCUUUGGUGCAAGCCCAACGUUUUUCUUCAGAUCUGCUGAUGUAUUCAUUACUAUCUGUCCCACAGUUUUCUUUUUACUGAACACCCCUUUUGGCAUAUGCGAAGGUAUAUGGAUGCACUCUUUUGCUCAGCAGAUAGUCUUUCCAUUCUUUCGGUCUUUCAUCUACCUGGGUGGAAGAGCCACAGGCUCUGAUGGUUCACUCUUUUUCUAACCUGCAACUUUCUAUGAAAGAAAAGGUUUAGAGAAUUUUUCACAAAUAAUAUAAAAUAUAACACUUUCAUUAGAAAACAGAAAAAUGGAUCAUUGAUCUGGAUUUUUUUUCUGUUUUUGUUUUGUUUGUUUGCUUCUUGAGACCGGGUUUUGCUAUGCAGUUCAGACUGGCCUCAAAAUCGCUAUGUAACCCACACUAGCCUCGAACUUAUGGCAAUCCUCCUGCCUCAACCUUCUGAGUGCUGGGAUUACAGGCAUAUGCUGCCAUGCCCAGUCAUUGAUUUAGUUUUAAGAAAGAUUUUUUUUUUUUCCUGCACUCUUGGGAGGUCUUCAAGAAAACUGUUUAUAGUGCUUGAGAUGUUUGCUCUUACCAUGCAGUGUUUUUUUUUUUUUUUCUUUCUUAUCAGAAAAAUGCAACUAAAAGGAUGUGGUCAUUUUUUCUUCUUUUAUAAAAUUUAAUUUAUUAUCACUAUCUUUUCUGUAUCUAUUCUGGCAAAGAAUAAAUAACAACUGCAAAUCCUCUAAAGAAAA